GUGAGUCAUCGAAUCUUUGAACGCACCUUGCGCUCCUUGGUAUUCCGAGGAGCAUGCCUGUUUGAGUGUCAUUAAAUAUAUCAACCUCUUCCAGCUUUUUGCUCGUUGAGUGUUGGAUGUUGGGGGUAAAUUUCUUGCUGGACUCACAACACGUGAGGUCAGCUCCCCUAAAAUGCAUUAGCAAAACAAGUUGUCGAUCGUUCAUUGGUGUGAUAGCUAUCUACGCUAUAGACGGUGAGGCAGGUUUAGCUUCUAACAGUCCAUUUGACUUGGACAAAUUUUAUUAAUGUGACCUCAAAUCAGGUAGGACUACCCGCUGAACUUA
This 325-nucleotide ribosomal RNA is filed under the name Cortinarius sp. 5836 JG-2015. RNAcentral describes it as "eukaryotic LSU rRNA". The stretch from base 1 to 71 matches the Rfam family "5.8S ribosomal RNA", at positions 84 to 154 of the family's 154-position model. Lineage: Eukaryota; Fungi; Basidiomycota; Agaricomycetes; Agaricales; Cortinariaceae. The record is from RNAcentral.